UGGGGAAUAUUGCACAAUGGGGGAAACCCGUGAUGCAGCAACGCCGCGUGAGUGAAGAAGUAUUUCGGUAUGUAAAGCUCUAUCAGCAGGGAAGAAGAUGACGGUACCUGACCAAGAAGCCCCGGCUAACUACGUGCC
Molecule: ribosomal RNA, 138 nt
Filed under: uncultured bacterium
Lineage: Bacteria
Description: partial 16S ribosomal RNA
Rfam family: Bacterial small subunit ribosomal RNA
Source: RNAcentral